Molecule: ribosomal RNA, 1524 nt
Filed under: Psychrobacter sp. KJF3-19
Lineage: Bacteria; Pseudomonadati; Pseudomonadota; Gammaproteobacteria; Moraxellales; Moraxellaceae
Description: bacterial SSU rRNA
Rfam family: Bacterial small subunit ribosomal RNA
Source: RNAcentral
GUUUGAUCCUGGCUCAGAUUGAACGCUGGCGGCAGGCUUAACACAUGCAAGUCGAGCGGAAACGAUGAUAGCUUGCUAUCAGGCGUCGAGCGGCGGACGGGUGAGUAAUACUUAGGAAUCUACCUAGUAGUGGGGGAUAGCACGGGGAAACUCGUAUUAAUACCGCAUACGACCUACGGGAGAAAGGGGGCAGUUUACUGCUCUCGCUAUUAGAUGAGCCUAAGUCGGAUUAGCUAGAUGGUGGGGUAAAGGCCUACCAUGGCGACGAUCUGUAGCUGGUCUGAGAGGAUGAUCAGCCACACCGGGACUGAGACACGGCCCGGACUCCUACGGGAGGCAGCAGUGGGGAAUAUUGGACAAUGGGGGAAACCCUGAUCCAGCCAUGCCGCGUGUGUGAAGAAGGCCUUUUGGUUGUAAAGCACUUUAAGCAGUGAAGAAGACUCCGUGGUUAAUACCCACGGACGAUGACAUUAGCUGCAGAAUAAGCACCGGCUAACUCUGUGCCAGCAGCCGCGGUAAUACAGAGGGUGCAAGCGUUAAUCGGAAUUACUGGGCGUAAAGGGAGCGUAGGUGGCUCUAUAAGUCAGAUGUGAAAUCCCCGGGCUCAACCUGGGAACUGCAUCUGAAACUGUAGAGCUAGAGUAUGUGAGAGGAAGGUAGAAUUCCAGGUGUAGCGGUGAAAUGCGUAGAGAUCUGGAGGAAUACCGAUGGCGAAGGCAGCCUUCUGGCAUAAUACUGACACUGAGGCUCGAAAGCGUGGGUAGCAAACAGGAUUAGAUACCCUGGUAGUCCACGCCGUAAACGAUGUCUACUAGUCGUUGGGUCCCUUGAGGACUUAGUGACGCAGCUAACGCAAUAAGUAGACCGCCUGGGGAGUACGGCCGCAAGGUUAAAACUCAAAUGAAUUGACGGGGGCCCGCACAAGCGGUGGAGCAUGUGGUUUAAUUCGAUGCAACGCGAAGAACCUUACCUGGUCUUGACAUAUCUAGAAUCCUGCAGAGAUGCGGGAGUGCCUUCGGGAAUUAGAAUACAGGUGCUGCAUGGCUGUCGUCAGCUCGUGUCGUGAGAUGUUGGGUUAAGUCCCGCAACGAGCGCAACCCUUGUCCUUAGUUACCAGCGGGUUAAGCCGGGAAMWCUAARGAUACUGCCAGUGACAAACUGGAGGAAGGCGGGGACGACGUCAAGUCAUCAUGGCCCUUACGACCAGGGCUACACACGUGCUACAAUGGUAGGUACAGAGGGCAGSUACACAGCGAUGUGAUGCGAAUCUCAAAAAGCCUAUCGUAGUCCAGAUUGGAGUCUGCAACUCGACUCCAUGAAGUAGGAAUCGCUAGUAAUCGCGGAUCAGAAUGCCGCGGUGAAUACGUUCCCGGGCCUUGUACACACCGCCCGUCACACCAUGGGAGUUGAUUGCACCAGAAGUGGAUAGCUUAACCUUCGGGGAGGCGUUCACCACGGUGUGGUUGAUGACUGGGGGUGAAGUCGUAACAAGGUAGCCGUAGGGGAACCUGCGGCUGGAUCACC